RNAcentral lists this long non-coding RNA (339 nucleotides) under Homo sapiens (human). Its description in RNAcentral is "long non-coding RNA NONHSAT173541.1". Lineage: Eukaryota; Metazoa; Chordata; Mammalia; Primates; Hominidae. The record is from RNAcentral.
CUUCAAGGUAGAUGGCCAGGUACCCUGGCUCUGCCAGCCUGCCUUUCAGCAGGGGCUUCAAUGGUCUUGCUCAAAUCACAUCCGCACUGACGAAUUUCCCUGUCGACGGACAGGACAUCGAUGUCAUCUGUAACUUCCGGUGCACUGGGGCACACAGCUGCAUCUCCCCAUGCUCACCUCCUGCCUCUUGCUCUGCCCAGUGUGAGGACUCAGCCUGGAUCACCUCCUCCAGGACAAGAACAACCUACCAUCAUCGAAGCUCGCCAACCCCCGUGGACUGCUGGCUCUCAAGGCGGCCGCUAGCCCAGCUCCGACAGCAGCUGACAAUGCACAGUAUGC